Molecule: unclassified non-coding RNA, 347 nt
Filed under: soil metagenome
Description: partial contains 5.8S ribosomal RNA, internal transcribed spacer 2, and large subunit ribosomal RNA
Rfam family: 5.8S ribosomal RNA (bases 1-120)
Source: RNAcentral
GAUGAAGAACGUAGCGAAAUGCGAUAAGUAAUGUGAAUUGCAGAAUUCAGUGAAUCAUCGAGUCUUUGAACGCACAUUGCGCCCCCUGGUAUUCCGGGGGGCAUGCCUGUCCGAGCGUCAUUGCUGCCCUCAAGCACGGCUUGUGUGUUGGGCCGUCGUCCCCCUCCUAGGGGACGGGCCCGAAAGGCAGCGGCGGCACCGCGUCCGGUCCUCGAGCGUAUGGGGCUUCGUCACCCGCUCCGUAGGCCCGGCCGGCGCUUGCCGACGACCAUCAAUCUCUUGCUCCAGGUUGACCUCGGAUCAGGUAGGGAUACCCGCUGAACUUAAGCAUAUCAAUAAGCGGAGGA